UUUUUCUUUAAGUCUGGAAUCUGAUUCCUUUUGGGAUGAGCACCCCUCUGAGCCCCCCAGUUUCAGAGGCUUCUUUGGAGGUGACCACUGAAAAGUAUAGAUUCUAUAAAAUAGAUGUGAGGGGGCAUUGGACAGUAAUGUCACCUUAAUUAUACUUUUCAUAUAGCAGAUAUGUGAUAUGCAAUGUGAUUUAAUAUAUCAGAGUAUUAUCACUUUAAUUGACACUGCAUUUUUUUUAUGCAUUAUUCUUUAUGCAUUAUUAUUUUUCUUUUCUUAAAUUGUAAUGUCUGUUUAGAAUAUUGCAGGCUUUGCAAUAUCAAAUUAAGUUUGCAGUAUAUAUAUUCACAAUGCUCUUACAACAUAUUAUUAAAAUUAGCCUCUUUCCGAAUUGUAGAAUAUGUGGUAGACCUGAAUCCCCAUAUAUGAGAUUUGAAACUGUAUUUUUAUUUCUACGCUGUGCCCUGAUCAGUAUUUAAAUGCAUAAUUGCAGCAGCAUAUAGCUUUUAAAGAAGCAAUUAUUUCACCGUUCAUGUGUGGUUGACUGUGGAGUUUUUAAAACCUAUUGUUUAUUUUAUUUUUUAAAUCUGUUUCUGACUUUGAGAGCAGGCUGCUGAAUGCAUGUAAAUGCUCUUAAUGCUUAGUCUCUAUACAUUUAUUUAAUCGUGUUUUAUGAAAACCUAGUUUAUGAAAUUCACUGAGAUUACAUGUGUCUGAUCUGAUUACAGUCAGUAGUACAAUAUAAUUGUUCUAAUUUCCUUACUGCUAGUACGGUGGGAUAGUACCACUGAUUUAAGUAAGCUUUCCCUUUUAAAAUCGGUGGACUUUACUGCCAUUGCAAUAGACUAAAGACUGUACCUGAGUAAGCAAAGUCAUUAUGUGCAGGAAUUGUGCACUUUAAAUAGUAGAAUACUUAUGCUAUUCUAGUGAAUUGGGCUGGCUGCUUAACACAUCAUUUAGUAUCUUUUGGUCACAUUUAAAGCUGUAAAUGUAUUUAACAUUUUAUUUAAAUAAGCCUUUAAUAAUUUCAGUUUAAAAGUUAUUAGAGAUCCUAUAUAGUUACAAUUUUAUUUAGCCCUGAUUUAGCUUACAUAUAUAUUAUUUUUAAUCAUUUUAUCAAUAUUUAUUUUUGCAGAGCAUUUAGAGAAGCAAAGGAUGUAUAACCACCUGUUGCCCUUUUUUCUAGGAGGGUAGUAUAAUUUCAACUCUGUUUAGGAAAAAAUAUGAGCUAGUUAUAUAUUAUAUAAAAUAUAUGCUGCAUUGUACUGCAUUGUACUGCACUGAAUUUAUUUAAAAGCCUUGUCUUUCUCUUUACGGCUGUAAGUAAUAAUAUUGUUCAUAAUUUGGAAUAUAAAACAACGACUUCUCAAUUCCUUGGAAUGUUUACAUGUCUCUGUAUCUCCGCAACCUUGGCUGGAAAUUCCACACUCCAAAAAUAGUUAUGCUAUUAUAAUUCCUGAUUUUUAAUCAACAGCUAGCGAACUGACAAUAUGGAAAAUAUCACUGUUUUACAAAACUUUUCAUAUAUAGUGGACAUUAGAAUCCAGAACGCAAUAAUGCAAUUUUCUUUGCUUUCUUGGAAUUAGACUCCAAAUUUCAUUGCUCUGUCUUAUCACUUUUCUUUUGACAACAUUUUGCAUGAAUCUUUUUCCUGCGCAUGCAUACUAAGCAGCUACAAAGAGAACAUAUCCCCCUGUCUGCAGUCCACUGUCCUGGAACUAACGGGCCAUGCUGUGCUGGUGUAUUAGGCAUAUCAGGGAGUUUACCAAAUUUGUAUAUUUGUUCUAUUAUGAUAUUAGUUAAGAUCCACAAUUUCAGCAUUGUAUGCUAAUUACAUUGUACCUGGCACCUGAACUCACAGUGCCUUGUUCACAUUAAAAUCAUCUCUAAUGAUGAAGAUCUCUCUCUGAGUCUGGGCUACACAUAGCUCAAUAGAUUCUUGAUAUUUCAAGACUUGUGCCAUGACAAAGUAUUGUGUCUUCUCUUACGUAUAAGAGGUUACCUAGGUAUUUAUUUUAUAUUUAAAGCUUCCAAGUACAAAGUCCCUUCGUGGUCGCCAAUUGUAACCGCUGGUGGUUCCCUUAUUUACCACUAUAAUGUCUUAAAGCAUAGAACUUAGUAGGGCUAACCAUACAGAUA
This is a non-coding RNA of Pelobates cultripes (western spadefoot toad), 2136 nucleotides long. The record is from the annotation of a GenBank genome assembly. Lineage: Eukaryota; Metazoa; Chordata; Amphibia; Anura; Pelobatidae.